ACCCCUGGCCCUCACUUAAUUGCUUUUUUUUUAGAAAAGAAGAGUUAGAAGAAAGAGGAAUUCAAAUAGUAAGUAUAAUUUGUUUUUACAGGUAUUGUUUUUUAGUGUAGGGUUAUUUAUUUUUAAUUAAUCGUGGCUAUGGGAUUAGGGAACCAAUAGGGAGGGUUUCUCACUAUUUGGGGGGAACCAAUAGGGAGGGCUUCUCACUAAUUGAG
Molecule: non-coding RNA, 215 nt
Organism: Pelobates cultripes (western spadefoot toad)
Lineage: Eukaryota; Metazoa; Chordata; Amphibia; Anura; Pelobatidae
Source: the annotation of a GenBank genome assembly